GAUGAAGUACGCAGCGAAAUGCGAUAAGUAGUGUGAAUUGCAGAAUUCAGUGAAUCAUCGAAUCUUUGAACGCACAUUGCGCCCCUUGGUACUCCAUGGGGCAUGCCUGUUCGAGCGUCAUUUACACCCUCAAGCUCAGCUUGGUGUUGGGCGUCUGUCCCGCUUCGUGCGCGGACUCGCCUCAAAUGCAUUGGCAGCGGUCUUGCCAGCUUCUCGCGCAGCACAUUGCGCUUCUAGAGGCUUUGGCGGAUCGGCGUCCAUCAAGUACACCCACAGUUUGACCUCGGAUCAGGUAGGGAUACCCGCUGAACUUAAGCAUAUCAAUAAGCGGAGGA
This 335-nucleotide unclassified non-coding RNA is filed under the name soil metagenome. RNAcentral's name for it is "partial contains 5.8S ribosomal RNA, internal transcribed spacer 2, and large subunit ribosomal RNA". The stretch from base 1 to 120 matches the Rfam family "5.8S ribosomal RNA", at positions 35 to 154 of the family's 154-position model. The record is from RNAcentral.